UACGUAGGGGGCGAGCGUUGUCCGGAUUUAUUGGGCGUAAAGCGCGCGUAGGCGGCCCGGUAAGUCCGUUGUGAAAGUCAAAGGCUCAACCUUUGAAAGCCGAUGGAUACUGCCGGGCUAGAGUCCGGAAGAGGCGAGUGGAAUUCCUGGUGUAGCGGUGGAAUGCGCAGAUAUCAGGAGGAACACCGAUAGCGAAGGCAGCUCGCUGGGACGGUACUGACGCUGAGGCGCGAAAGCGUGGGGAGCGAACAGG
RNAcentral lists this ribosomal RNA (253 nucleotides) under uncultured bacterium. RNAcentral describes it as "partial 16S ribosomal RNA". It matches the Rfam family "Bacterial small subunit ribosomal RNA", at positions 524 to 776 of the family's 1533-position model. The record is from RNAcentral.